GAAAUGCGAUAAGUAAUGUGAAUUGCAGAAUUCAGUGAAUCAUCGAAUCUUUGAACGCACAUUGCGCCCGCCAGUAUUCUGGCGGGCAUGCCUGUUCGAGCGUCAUUUCAACCAUCAAGCCCCCGGGCUUGUGUUGGGGACCUGCGGCUGCCCGCAGGCCCUGAAAACCAGUGGCGGGCUCGCUGUCACACCGGGCGUAGUAGAUUUUAUCUCGCUCAGGGCGUGCUGCGGGUUCCGGCCGUUAAAAAGCCUUUUUUACCCAAGGUUGACCUCGGAUCAGGUAGGAAGACCCGCUGAACUUAAGC
Molecule: unclassified non-coding RNA, 305 nt
Filed under: plant metagenome
Description: partial contains 5.8S ribosomal RNA, internal transcribed spacer 2, and large subunit ribosomal RNA
Rfam family: 5.8S ribosomal RNA (bases 1-105)
Source: RNAcentral